RNAcentral lists this unclassified non-coding RNA (145 nucleotides) under uncultured Cryptosporiopsis. RNAcentral's name for it is "sequence contains ITS2". Lineage: Eukaryota; Fungi; Ascomycota; Leotiomycetes; Helotiales; Dermateaceae. The record is from RNAcentral.
CAACCCUCAAGCUAUGCUUGGUAUUGGGCCUCAUCGGGAACGAUGUGCCUUAAAGAGAGUGGCGGCACUGCUUGGCUCUAAGCGUAGUAAACUUCUCGCUAUAGACGCUCGGGAGCUGCCCGCCAUAACCCCAAAAUUUCUUAGG